UCUCUGUAACCUGUGUGACGUGUAUUUAGGUGUCUCUCUGUAACCUGUGUGACGUGUAUUUAGGUGUCUCUCUGUAACCUGUGUGACGUGUAUUUAGGUGUCUCUCUGUAACCUGUGUGACGUGUAUUUAGGUGUCUCUGUAACCUGUGUGACGUGUAUUUAGGUGUCUCUCUGUAACCUGUGUGAUGUGUAUUUAGGUGUCUCUCUGUAACCUGUGUGACGUGUAUUUAGGUGUCUCUGUAACCUGUGUGACGUGUAUUUAGGUGUCUCUGUAACCUGUGUGACGUGUAUUUAGGUGUCUCUCUGUAACCUGUGUGACGUGUAUUUAGGUGUCUCUGUAACCUGUGUGACGUGUAUUUAGGUGUCUCUGUAACCUGUGUGACGUGUAUUUAGGUGUCUCUCUGUAACCUGUGUGACGUGUAUUUAGGUGUGUCUCUGUAACCUGUGUGACGUGUAUUUAGGUGUGUCUCUGUAACCUGUGUGACGUGUAUUUAGGUGUCUCUGUAACCUGUGUGACGUGUAUUUAGGUGUCUCUGUAACCUGUGUGACAUGUAUUUAGGUGUCUCUCUGUAACCUGUGUGACGUGUAUUUAGGUGUGUCUCUGUAACCUGUGUGACGUGUAUUUAGGUGUCUCUCUGUAACCUGUGUGACGUGUAUUUAGGUGUCUCUGUAACCUGUGUGACGUGUAUUUAGGGUGUCUCUCUGUAACCUGUGUGACGUGUAUUUAGCUGUCUCUAACCUGUGUGACGUGUAUUUAGGUGUCUCUCUGUAACCUGUGUG
Oncorhynchus gorbuscha (pink salmon) is the source of this 780-nucleotide long non-coding RNA. RefSeq lists it as uncharacterized. Lineage: Eukaryota; Metazoa; Chordata; Actinopteri; Salmoniformes; Salmonidae. The record is from RefSeq and is a predicted model, not a curated record. The transcript is spliced from 3 exons.